AACGAACGCUGGCGGCAGGCCUAACACAUGCAAGUCGAACGCUCUAGCAAUAUUGAGUGGCAGACGGGUGAGUAACACGUGGGAAUCUUCCUAUCGGUACGGAAUCGCUCGGGGAAACUUGGGGUAAUAGCGCAUACGCCCUUCGGGGAAUAGGUGUAUCGCCGAGAGAUGAGCCAGCGGCUGUUUAGCUAGUUGGUAGGGUAAUGGCUCAUCUAGGAGACGAUAAGCAGCUGGUCAUAGAGGAUGACCAGCUACCCUGGGACUGAGACACGGCCCAGACUCUGACGGGAGGCAGCAGAGGGGAAUAUGGGACAAUGGGCGAAAGCCUGAUCCAGCCAGGCCGCGUGAGUGACGAAGGUCUUCGGAUAGUAAAGCUCUUUUGGCGGGGACGAGAAUGACGGUACCCGAAGAAUAAGCCCCGGCUAACUUCGUGCCAGCCGCCGCCGUAA
RNAcentral lists this ribosomal RNA (449 nucleotides) under uncultured bacterium. Its description in RNAcentral is "partial 16S ribosomal RNA". It matches the Rfam family "Bacterial small subunit ribosomal RNA", at positions 29 to 523 of the family's 1533-position model. The record is from RNAcentral.